GACGAACGCUGGCGGCGUGCUUCACACAUGCAAGUCGAGCGGGGUCCAUCCUCUCGUAAGAGAGGUGAAGACCUAGCGGCGAACGGGUGCGUAACACGUGAGGAACCUGCCCCGAAGUCUGGGAUAACACCGGGAAACCGGUGCUAAUACCGGAUGCCCUCUACGGAUCGCAUGGUCUGUUGAGGAAAGAUUUAUCGCUUCGGGAGGGUCUCGCGGCCUAUCAGCUUGUUGGUGGGGGAAUGGCCUACCAAGGCUGCGACGGGUAGCUGGUCUGAGAGGACGAUCAGCCACACUGGGACUGAGACACGGCCCAGACUCCUACGGGAGGCAGCAGUGGGGAAUCUUGCACAAUGGGCGAAAGCCUGAUGCAGCAACGCCGCGUGGAGGAUGAAGGCUCUCGGGUUGUAAACUCCUUUCAGCAGGGACGAAACUGACGGUACCUGCAGAAGAAGCCCCGGCCAACUACGUGCCAGCCGCCGCCGUAAU
RNAcentral lists this ribosomal RNA (486 nucleotides) under uncultured bacterium. RNAcentral describes it as "bacterial SSU rRNA". It matches the Rfam family "Bacterial small subunit ribosomal RNA", at positions 28 to 524 of the family's 1533-position model. The record is from RNAcentral.